RNAcentral lists this ribosomal RNA (557 nucleotides) under Hansenula anomala. RNAcentral describes it as "eukaryotic LSU rRNA". The stretch from base 161 to 314 matches the Rfam family "5.8S ribosomal RNA". Lineage: Eukaryota; Fungi; Ascomycota; Saccharomycetes; Phaffomycetales; Wickerhamomycetaceae. The record is from RNAcentral.
AUUGCGCGGCGAUAAACCUUACACACAUUGUCUAGUUUUUUUGAACUUUGCUUUGGGUGCAUCAGCCUAGCUGCGUGCCCAAAGGUCUAAACACAUUUUUUAAUGUUAAAACCUUUAACCAAUAGUCAUGAAAAUUUUUAACAAAAAUUAAAAUCUUCAAAACUUUCAACAACGGAUCUCUUGGUUCUCGCAACGAUGAAGAACGCAGCGAAAUGCGAUACGUAUUGUGAAUUGCAGAUUUUCGUGAAUCAUCGAAUCUUUGAACGCACAUUGCACCCUCUGGUAUUCCAGAGGGUAUGCCUGUUUGAGCGUCAUUUCUCUCUCAAACCUUCGGGUUUGGUAUUGAGUGAUACUCUGUCAAGGGUUAACUUGAAAUAUUGACUUAGCAAGAGUGUACUAAUAAGCAGUCUUUCUGAAAUAAUGUAUUAGGUUCUUCCAACUCGUUAUAUCAGCUAGGCAGGUUUAGAAGUAUUUUAGGCUCGGCUUAACAACAAUAAACUAAAAGUUUGACCUCAAAUCAGGUAGGACUACCCGCUGAACUUAAGCAUAUCAAUAAG